UGGGCGUCGAGCGGCGGACGGGUGAGUAAUGCCUAGGAAAUUGCCUUGAUGUGGGGGAUAACCAUUGGAAACGAUGGCUAAUACCGCAUAAUGCCUACGGGCCAAAGAGGGGGAUCUUCGGACCUCUCGCGUCAAGAUAUGCCUAGGUGGGAUUAGCUAGUUGGUGAGGUAAUGGCUCACCAAGGCGACGAUCCCUAGCUGGUCUGAGAGGAUGAUCAGCACACUGGAACUGAGACACGGUCCAGACUCCUACGGGAGGCAGCAGUGGGGAAUAUUGCACAAUGGGCGAAAGCCUGAUGCAGCCAUGCCGCGUGUAUGAAGAAGGCCUUCGGGUUGUAAAGUACUUUCAGUUGUGAGGAA
This 360-nucleotide ribosomal RNA is filed under the name Vibrio splendidus. RNAcentral's name for it is "bacterial SSU rRNA". It matches the Rfam family "Bacterial small subunit ribosomal RNA", at positions 85 to 449 of the family's 1533-position model. The record is from RNAcentral. Lineage: Bacteria; Pseudomonadati; Pseudomonadota; Gammaproteobacteria; Vibrionales; Vibrionaceae.